CGGACGGCUGAGUAACGCGUAGGUGACCUACCCCGAAGUGGGGGAAUAACUGCCCGAAAGGGUGGCUAAUACCGCAUGUGGUGGUUCGUUCAUUCGAUCCACCAAAGCAGCAAUGCGCUUCGGGAGGGGCCUGCGUCCGAUUAGCUCGUUGGUGGGGUAACGGCUCACCAAGGCGACGAUCGGUAGGUGGUCUGAGAGGACGAUCACCCAGACUGGGACUGAGACACGGCCCAG
This 234-nucleotide ribosomal RNA is filed under the name uncultured bacterium. Its description in RNAcentral is "partial 16S ribosomal RNA". It matches the Rfam family "Bacterial small subunit ribosomal RNA", at positions 99 to 334 of the family's 1533-position model. The record is from RNAcentral.